Molecule: ribosomal RNA, 252 nt
Filed under: uncultured bacterium
Lineage: Bacteria
Description: partial 16S ribosomal RNA
Rfam family: Bacterial small subunit ribosomal RNA
Source: RNAcentral
UACGUGUGUCGCAAGCGUUAUCCGGAUUUAUUGGGCGUAAAGCGCGUCUAGGCGGUUUGGUAAGUCUGAGGUGAAAAUGCGGGGCUCAACUCCGUAUUGCGUUGGAAACUGUCAAACUAGAGUACUGGAGAGGUUGGCGGAAUUACAAGUGUAGAGGUGAAAUUCGUAGAUAUUUGUAGGAAUACUGAUGGCGAAGUCAGCCCACUGGACAGAUACUGACGCUGAAGCGCGAAAGCGUGGGGAGCAAAAAGG